Molecule: unclassified non-coding RNA, 171 nt
Filed under: soil metagenome
Description: partial internal transcribed spacer 1
Source: RNAcentral
CAGAGUUGCAAAACUCCCGACCAUUGUGAACCUACCUCACCGUUGCUUCGGCGGGUGGCCCGGGGCAACCCAGGCCGCGCCGGCACCCUUCUUCGGGGGGCCCGGCAAGCCCGUCAGAGGACCGAAACCCUGUAAUUACUGGCCUCUCUGAGUAACUUAUACAAUAAGUCA